This 582-nucleotide ribosomal RNA is filed under the name uncultured bacterium. RNAcentral's name for it is "bacterial SSU rRNA". It matches the Rfam family "Bacterial small subunit ribosomal RNA", at positions 373 to 952 of the family's 1533-position model. The record is from RNAcentral.
GGCGCAGCUGAUCCUGCCAUGCCGCGUGAGUGAAGAAGGCCUUCGGGUUGUAAAGCUCUUUCGGCGGGGAAGAAAGGUACGUGCUAAUACCACGGACUAAUGACGGUACCCGAAGAAGAAGCACCGGCUAACUACGUGCCAGCAGCCGCGGUAAUACGUAGGGUGCAGGCGUUAAUCGGAAUUACUGGGCGUAAAGCGUGCGCAGGCGGUUUGUUAAGACAGAUGUGAAAUCCCCGGGCUUAACCUGGGAACUGCGUUUGUUACUGGCAAGCUAGAGUGUGGCAGAGGGGGGUGGAAUUCCAAGUGUAGCAGUGAAAUGCGUAGAUAUUUGGAGGAACACCGAUGGCGAAGGCAGCCCCCUGGGCUAACACUGACGCUCAUGCACGAAAGCGUGGGGAGCAAACAGGAUUAGAUACCCUGGUAGUCCACGCCCUAAACUAUGUCAACUGGUUGUCGGGGAAGCAAUUCCUUGGUAACGAAGCUAACGCGUGAAGUUGACCGNCUGGGGAGUACGGCCGCAAGGUUAAAACUCAAAGGAAUUGACGGGGACCCGCACAAGCGGUGGAUUAUGUGGAUUAAUUC